Molecule: ribosomal RNA, 500 nt
Filed under: uncultured bacterium
Lineage: Bacteria
Description: bacterial SSU rRNA
Rfam family: Bacterial small subunit ribosomal RNA
Source: RNAcentral
GAUGAACGCUAGCGGCAGGCCUAAUACAUGCAAGACGAACGGUAAGUUGGUUAGCAAUAAUCGACCUAGAGUGUCGUAAGGGUGCGUAACGAGUAUGCAAUCUGCCCUCAACAGGAGAAUAGCUCCCCGAAAGGGGAAUUAACACUCCGUAAUAUAAUGGUUAGGCAUCUUACUAUUAUUAAAACUACGGUGGUUGAGGAUGAGCAUGCUUCUGAUUAGUUAGUUGGCGGGGUAACGGCCCACCAAGGCGAUGAUCAGUAGGGGAACUGAGAGGACGACCCCCCACAUUGGAACUGAGACACGGUCCAGACUCCUACGGGAGGCAGCAGUGGGGAAUUUUGGGCAAUGGCCGCAAGGCUGACCCAGCGACGCCGCGUGCGGGAGGACGCUUUUCGGAGUGUAAACCGCUGUCAGAGGGGAAGAAACGCCGGGCGGGGAAUACUCGUCCGGUUUGACGGUACCCUCAAAGGAAGCACCGGCUAACUCUGUGCCAGCAGCCG